This is a long non-coding RNA of Rana temporaria (common frog), 1232 nucleotides long. RefSeq lists it as uncharacterized. Lineage: Eukaryota; Metazoa; Chordata; Amphibia; Anura; Ranidae. The transcript is spliced from 2 exons. The record is from RefSeq and is a predicted model, not a curated record.
GACUGUCAUUGUCUGAUUGUUUAAUCAAUCUCUCAUUCAUUGUCAGUCCCCCUCCUUUUUGACUCUUUGGCAUCAUUUAUCCCCCGUCUUGGUCUUGGUUUUGUAUUCCCAUUGUUUUGCUGCACAUUUUACAUUCAUACUGCAGCCUUCUUUUCAUCUAGUUGCUAUUCCCAUGCCUGGUUGUUUUCCCUCAAUCAAUAUGGCGUUAAACGCCUCGGCGUCAUGGCAGUCCGUCCCAUUACAGCGUGUGUUCACAUGCGCGGGACACCUCUGCAGCCAUUGGUUUGACGCACAACAAAUGGGAGGAGAUCUGGUGCCGUUGUCACAUGUCUGCAUCCCAGCGGCGUAUUUCAGACGCCGCCGGGAUGGUAUUUAAGAGCGCAGCGUUCAGCCGCAAUCCCUGGCAUAAUUUAUGGCAAACGGAGCCAUUUGCAGGCUCGGUCGCCCUAACGCUGUGGAGUUCUAAUGUUUGUUUGGGACUGCGCCCUAAUACAGAGAUCUGCACUGCCUGUGCAUAUGAGGCACCCAGUCAUCUUCUGAUGUGUGGCAUCUGGAGGAACUUGGGGUGCAUUACCACGGAAAUUAUUACAGGUGUCCCUGUUGGGCAAAUUUAUUGGUUCCAUAGUUCACUACUAAAGUGAGGUAUGUUUCGUUUAUAUUAAAAAUUAAUUAAAUCUAGUUCUGGGUUGUAAUCGCUUGAUAAUCAAGUGAAUUUGACCCAUUUGUAUUUAUAUAUAUAUUUUUUGAUAUAUCAGGCUCUCUUUAUACUAUGGCCUCAGAUUAACUAUCGAGACUUCUUGAUGCAUGGUUCCAGUAUCUUGACAACGUUAUGUGCAGUUACUUAUUCCUAUUAUGCCUUCAUUUUUGAAGUGAUCCGGUCCCAUGUGGUAAGCCUGCUUGCGCCAUUAUUCUGCACCUCAUUAUAUGUAAACUUAUAUUAACACAAUAUAUAUUUCUAUGAAUUAUUAUAUGUAUUUUUGUAUAUAUGUAUAUAUGCACCUAUUAUUACUAAUUCUUGUUUCCAUCCCUUGUAUCCCCCUGUUUCUUGAUAUUUUGUAGUAUUACCUGUUCAAGCUCCUGAAGAAGCUCAAUUUGGAGCGAAACAUGUAGAGCGAGCAAAUACUGCAACAGGUCUUCUUAUACUCAUGUUUUGAAGUUAACAACUCAAUACCCGUCGGAUGGUUUUUAUAGAUUUAUUGUUAUGAAAUAAAAUACAUUUUUCUAUAUUCUUA